CUGGCCCUGAUCUGACACACAUGCUGCCUUGCACCUGAGGCUCCUUCUUGGCUUACCAUGAUCCAGGGAGACUCUGGACACAGGAUCCACGUGGGCUCCUUAGUGGGAUGACCUUCCAACACUUAUGCCAAGAGGGCUCCCACCCUCACACACCCUUGUGCCAGCUGCUGGGAUUGCAGUGUGACUCAGAGCUGCUGGAGAAGCUGCAGAGAAACAGAAAAUGUCUCAGGCACGAACUUACUCAGUGGGAAAAAGGAGAUGUUUUCACAUAGCAUGAUAUGUCUGCAAAGUUCAGGAAAUAUUGUCUCACUUUUUGAUGCACACCAACAUCCCUGUCCAGUGCAGAAGCCUCGUGGGAACUUGCUGUGGGCAAGAAAGGGAAAUUCAACAUAUGGCUGUGUUAGGAGAGUGUGGUCACAACUGAGCAGUGAGUGCUGGAAUGAGGAACCCUCAGCACUGGGAUUUGGUCUGAAGAGCAUCAUCACAUAUGUCUGUUUGCAUUUUUAUGAAUAAAUCAAAAGAGAGAUGACAACUAUGUAUCUAAUAGGAUGUGUUCUAAAAACUGUUUUAAUGGAUUUUAAUUAUGUAAAUAUAAAGAAAAUAGAAACAAUACCAUAAAAACCUCAGUGAACAUUAACACUUGUAUAAUACAAUUAUUAGCAUGUUACUAAUACAAACAAAAAAGACCUUUAAUAUUUUAGUCAAAAUAACCUUGAAGAAUAUUAUCUCUGUGCCUAUCUUCUAGUGAAAGUCUAUGGAAGAAACACCAAACAGCCUUUCAGGUCUUUUAAAGUUUCAUUUCCUUUUUGCUUAUCCCAGGAGGAUGACAGCAGAGUGGUCUUUUUCCAAAAAUUCUCAGAAGGAAAUUAAAAAUACUGCAGAAGGAAAGACAAA
This 894-nucleotide long non-coding RNA is filed under the name Junco hyemalis (dark-eyed junco). Its description in RNAcentral is "lncRNA (ENSJHYG00000012458.1)". Lineage: Eukaryota; Metazoa; Chordata; Aves; Passeriformes; Passerellidae. The record is from RNAcentral.